AAAGAAACAGAAGUUUCACUGAGCUCUUUCAUCUAAUUUUGUUCUAAUUGUUAAAUGAAAAGUCUGAGAGGAGCACCUUGGGAAUUUUAUGCCAAUAAAAAAGAGUGGUGUGAUCCCAUUUGCAAAAUUUAAUCCUAAAGGUACUCAGAUCACAAAUAGAAUAAAAAGAAUAAUAGCAACCAAGAAUAGAAAUCAAGCACCUAUGGGGACAGACAUGAUAUAAAAUUCUGAUUUUCAUUUGUGCUAAAUGACUACAAUAUAGGUAAUGAGCAGGAAGUUUGGCAUGGAUUAAAUUAUGUAUUUCAGUUCAGACUUUAGAAUUCGGUAAAUGCAUAUUAAGUCCUCAAUGUACAUUUUUUCCCCUAACUUCCUCUAUGUCCCUGAUCAUGACAAAACUGAAUUCUGGAAAAAGAAAUCUCUUUUACAUUAAAAUCUG
This 436-nucleotide long non-coding RNA is filed under the name Bos taurus (domestic cattle). Its description in RNAcentral is "long non-coding RNA NONBTAT023551". Lineage: Eukaryota; Metazoa; Chordata; Mammalia; Artiodactyla; Bovidae. The record is from RNAcentral.